Long non-coding RNA from Pistacia vera, 309 nucleotides. RefSeq lists it as uncharacterized. The record is from RefSeq and is a predicted model, not a curated record. The transcript is spliced from 2 exons. NCBI's taxonomy places the organism in Eukaryota, Viridiplantae, Streptophyta, Magnoliopsida, Sapindales, Anacardiaceae.
GCUGUCUUGGGGUAUAAAGUUUCAGCAAUGGAAGCAUUGACACAAAUUGCAUGUGUAUCCGGUGCUGGAAUGGAUACCCAUCACCACUCCCGUUGGAAUGAAAAUAGAGUUCAUUUAAAGUUAGAAUACAGUUUUUGGUAGAUUUAAGAUUUCUUAUGUCCUUUGGGCUUUGUGUUCAGUAUGCUCUCAAAAUUGAAGAAGGAUGUUGCACUGUAUGCAUUAGUGGGUUCACCGCAUUGGAUGUGCCUCGCCCACAAGGUCCCCUCUGGAUAAAAGAACAUCCUACUCGUCUCAAUCUCCAAAUAUAAU